RNAcentral lists this ribosomal RNA (775 nucleotides) under uncultured Neocallimastigales. Its description in RNAcentral is "partial large subunit ribosomal RNA". It matches the Rfam family "Eukaryotic large subunit ribosomal RNA", at positions 23 to 634 of the family's 3401-position model. Lineage: Eukaryota; Fungi; Neocallimastigomycota; Neocallimastigomycetes; Neocallimastigales. The record is from RNAcentral.
AGAGAGAGACAUGCGCGCAUAUCAAUAAGCGGAGGAAAAGAAACUAACAAGGAUUCCCUUAGUAACGGCGAGUGAAGCGGGAAGAGCUCAAAUUUGAAAUCUUCAAGGUUUUACCUUGACGAAUUGUAGUUUAAAGAAGUGUUUUCUGCUGAAGUUUUGGUAAAAGUUCUUUGGAAUAGGACAUCAUAGAGGGUGAGAAUCCCGUAUUUGACCAUUAUUUUCAGCUUUGUGAUACACUUUCAAAGAGUCGGAUUGUUUGGGAAUGCAGUCCAAAAUGGGUGGUAAAUUUCAUCUAAAGCUAAAUAUUGGCGAGAGACCGAUAGCGAACAAGUACCGUGAGGGAAAGAUGAAAAGAACUUUGAAAAGAGAGUUAAACAAGUACGUGAAAUUGUCAAAAGGGAAGCGUUUGACACCAGUGUUGUUUUCUCGAAAAUCAAUUAAAAAUGGCUCGAUUUUGUAUUGUUGAGACCUUAAAAGCUCACUGUACAUUUUUCGUGUCUUUUUUAAUGCACUUUUCGUUUAACAAGUCAACAUCAGUUUCUUUUGUUGUAAAAGGGUCAUUGGAAGGUGGCUUUCUUUUCGGAGAAAGUGUUUAUAGCCUUUGGCCUCUGCAAUCGGAGAGACUGAGGUCUGCAGCGUAGACUCUUCGGGGUUAGAUACAUUUGUGCUAAGUUAUAGCUUUUUAUAGACAACUUGUUGACUAUAAUUAGUCUUGUAGCUUACUCGCUUAUGCUAUUUUACCUACGCUUAGGAUGUUGAAGAUGUAGCACAUCAU